AGAGUUUGAUCAUGGCUCAGAUUGAACGCUGGCGGCAGGCUUAACACAUGCAAGUCGAGCGGGGAAAAGUAGCUUGCUACUUAACUUAGCGGCGGACGGGUGAGUAAUACUUAGGAAUCUGCCUAUUAGUGGGGGACAACAUUUCGAAAGGAAUGCUAAUACCGCAUACGUCCUACGGGAGAAAGCAGGGGAUCACUUGUGACCUUGCGCUAAUAGAUGAGCCUAAGUCGGAUUAGCUAGUUGGUGGGGUAAAGGCCUACCAAGGCGACGAUCUGUAGCGGGUCUGAGAGGAUGAUCCGCCACACUGGGACUGAGACACGGCCCAGACUCCUACGGGAGGCAGCAGUGGGGAAUAUUGGACAAUGGGGGGAACCCUGAUCCAGCCAUGCCGCGUGUGUGAAGAAGGCCUUUUGGUUGUAAAGCACUUUAAGCGAGGAGGAGGCUACUCUAGUUAAUACCUAGAGAUAGUGGACGUUACUCGCAGAAUAAGCACCGGCUAACUCUGUGCCAGCAGCCGCGGUAAUACAGAGGGUGCGAGCGUUAAUCGGAUUUACUGGGCGUAAAGCGUGCGUAGGUGGCCAAUUAAGUCAAAUGUGAAAUCCCCGAGCUUAACUUGGGAAUUGCAUUCGAUACUGGUUGGCUAGAGUAUGGGAGAGGAUGGUAGAAUUCCAGGUGUAGCGGUGAAAUGCGUAGAGAUCUGGAGGAAUACCGAUGGCGAAGGCAGCCAUCUGGCCUAAUACUGACACUGAGGUACGAAAGCAUGGGGAGCAAACAGGAUUAGAUACCCUGGUAGUCCAUGCCGUAAACGAUGUCUACUAGCCGUUGGGGUCUUUGAGACUUUAGUGGCGCAGCUAACGCGAUAAGUAGACCGCCUGGGGAGUACGGUCGCAAGACUAAAACUCAAAUGAAUUGACGG
This 916-nucleotide ribosomal RNA is filed under the name uncultured bacterium. RNAcentral describes it as "bacterial SSU rRNA". It matches the Rfam family "Bacterial small subunit ribosomal RNA", at positions 8 to 916 of the family's 1533-position model. The record is from RNAcentral.